CCUACGGGAUGCAGCAGUGGGGAAUAUUGCACAAUGGGGGAAACCCUGAUGCAGCAACGCCGCGUGAGUGAAGAAGUAUUUCGGUAUGUAAAGCUCUAUCAGCAGGGAAGAAGAUGACGGUAACUGAGUAAGAAGCCCUGGCUAACUAUGUGCCAGCAGCCGCGGUAAUACGUAGGGGGCAAGCGUUACCCGGAUUUCUUGGGUGUAAAGGGAGCGUAGACGGUGAGACAAGUCUGAAGUGAAAGCCCGGGGCUCAACCCCGGGACUGCUUUGGAAACUGCCUGACUGGAGUGCUGGAGAGGCGAGCGGAAUUCCUAGUGUAGCGGUGAAAGGCGUAGAUAUAAGGAAGAACACCAGUGGCGAAGGCGGCUUGCUGGACAGUAACUGACGCUGAAGCACGAAAGCGUGGGUAGCGAACAGGAUUAGAUACCCGGGUAGUC
RNAcentral lists this ribosomal RNA (440 nucleotides) under uncultured bacterium. Its description in RNAcentral is "partial 16S ribosomal RNA". It matches the Rfam family "Bacterial small subunit ribosomal RNA", at positions 338 to 795 of the family's 1533-position model. The record is from RNAcentral.